Molecule: ribosomal RNA, 767 nt
Filed under: uncultured bacterium
Lineage: Bacteria
Description: bacterial SSU rRNA
Rfam family: Bacterial small subunit ribosomal RNA
Source: RNAcentral
UAGGGGAACCUGAAGGAUCACGCCGCGUGGAGGAUGAAGGUCUUCGGAUUGUAAACUCCUGUCAUGAGGGAGUAAGACACAGCGUUAACUGCGUAUGUGUUUGAUAGUACCUCAAGAGGAAGAGACGGCUAACUCUGUGCCAGCAGCCGCGGUAAUACAGAGGUCUCAAGCGUUGUUCGGAUUCAUUGGGCGUAAAGGGUGCGUAGGUGGCGAGGUAAGUCAGAUGUGAAAUCCCCGGGCUCAACCUGGGAACUGCAUUUGAUACUGCCGUGCUAGAGUGCUGGAGGGGAGACUGGAAUUCACGGUGUAGCAGUGAAAUGCGUAGAUAUCGUGAGGAAGACCGGUGGCGAAGGCGAGUCUCUGGACAGCAACUGACACUGAGGCACGAAGGCUAGGGGAGCAAACGGGAUUAGAUACCCCGGUAGUCCUAGCAGUAAACGGUGCGCGUUUGGUAUGGGGGGAUCGACCCCUUCCGUGCCGGAGCUAACGCGUUAAACGCGCCGCCUGGGGAGUACGGUCGCAAGAUUAAAACUCAAAGAAAUUGACGGGGGCCCGCACAAGCGGUGGAGUAUGUGGCUUAAUUCGAUGCAACGCGAAGAACCUUACCUGGGCUUGACAUGCAUCUCUAAGUUGGUGAAAGCCAGCGAGUGCGUAGCAAUACGCACGAUUUGCACAGGUGCUGCAUGGGUGUCGGCAGCUCGUGUCGCGAGAUGUGGGCGUAGUGUCCGCAAGAAGGGAACCCUUGUGAUUAUGGUACUGGGAACCAG